AGAGUUUGAUCCUGGCUCAGAACGAACGCUGGCGGCGCGCCUAAUACAUGCAAGUCGAGCGAGAAGACGUAGCAAUACGUUUGUAAAGCGGCGAACGGGUGAGGAAUACAUGGGUAACCUACCCUCGAGUGGGGAAUAACUAACCGAAAGGUUAGCUAAUACCGCAUACGACUCCUGGUCUGCGGAUCGGGAGGGAAAGCGAUACCGUGGGUAUCGCGCUCUUGGAUGGGCUCAUGUCCUAUCAGCUUGUUGGUGAGGUAACGGCUCACCAAGGCUUCGACGGGUAGCUGGUCUGAGAGGACGAUCAGCCACACUGGCACUGCGACACGGGCCAGACUCCUACGGGAGGCAGCAGUAAGGAAUAUUGCGCAAUGGGCGACAGCCUGACGCAGCGACGCCGCGUGGGGGAUGAAGGUCUUCGGAUUGUAAACCCCUUUCGGCAGGGAAGAUGGAACGGGUAACCGUUCGGACGGUACCUGCAGAAGCAGCCACGGCUAACUUCGUGCCAGCAGCCGCGGUAAUACGAAGGUGGCAAGCGUUGUUCGGAUUUACUGGGCGUACAGGGAGCGUAGGCGGUUGGGUAAGCCCUCCGUGAAAUCUCCGGGCCUAACCCGGAAAGUGCGGAGGGGACUGCUCGGCUAGAGGAUGGGAGAGGAGCGCGGAAUUCCCGGUGUAGCGGUGAAAUGCGUAGAGAUCGGGAGGAAGGCCGGUGGCGAAGGCGGCGCUCUGGAACGUUUCUGACGCUGAGGCUCGAAAGCGUGGGGAGCAAACAGGAUUAGAUACCCUGGUAGUCCACGCCU
This 800-nucleotide ribosomal RNA is filed under the name uncultured bacterium. RNAcentral describes it as "bacterial SSU rRNA". It matches the Rfam family "Bacterial small subunit ribosomal RNA", at positions 8 to 802 of the family's 1533-position model. The record is from RNAcentral.